Molecule: transfer RNA, 69 nt
Filed under: Schizocardium brasiliense
Lineage: Eukaryota; Metazoa; Hemichordata; Enteropneusta; Spengelidae
Description: tRNA-Phe
Rfam family: tRNA
About the family: Transfer RNA (tRNA) molecules are approximately 80 nucleotides in length. Their secondary structure includes four short double-helical elements and three loops (D, anti-codon, and T loops).
Source: RNAcentral
GUCGAGAUAGCUUAAUUAGAGCAAAGCACUGAAAAUGCUUAGGCAGGCGUUAAAGUCCCCUUCUUGACA